GGGCCCGCACAAGCGGUGGAGUAUGUGGUUUAAUUCGAUGCAACGCGAAGAACCUUACCAGGGUUUGACAUCCUGCGAAUCUUUUGGAAACGAGAGAGUGCCUUCGGGAACGCAGUGACAGGUGGUGCAUGGCUGUCGUCAGCUCGUGUCGUGAGAUGUUGGUUAAGUCCCGCAACGAGCGCAACCCACGUCUUUAGUUGCCAGCAUUUAGUUGGGCACUCUAGAGAGACCGCCGGUGAUAAACCGGAGGAAGGUGUGGAUGACGUCAAGUCAUCAUGCCCCUUACAUCCUGGGCUACACACGUACUACAAUGCUACGGACAAAGAGCAGCAAGUUCGCGAGGAC
This 345-nucleotide ribosomal RNA is filed under the name uncultured bacterium. RNAcentral's name for it is "bacterial SSU rRNA". It matches the Rfam family "Bacterial small subunit ribosomal RNA", at positions 917 to 1264 of the family's 1533-position model. The record is from RNAcentral.